GAUGAACGCUAGCUACAGGCUUAUCACAUGCAAGUCGAGGGGAAACGAUAUUGGAAGCUUGCUUCCGAUAGGCGUCGACCGGCGCACGGGUGAGUAACGCGUAUCCAACCUGCCCAUCACUUGGGGAUAACCUUGCGAAAGUAAGACUAAUACCCAAUGACGUCUCUAGAAGACAUCUGAAAGAGAUUAAAGAUUUAUCGGUGAUGGAUGGGGAUGGGUCUGAUUAGCUUGUUGGCGGGGUAACGGCCCACCAAGGCGACGAUCAGUAGGGGUUCUGAGAGGAAGGUCCCCCACAUUGGAACUGAGACACGGUCCAAACUCCUACGGGAGGCAGCAGUGAGGAAUAUUGGUCAAUGGACGAGAGUCUGAACCAGCCAAGUAGCGUGCAGGAUGACGGCCCUAUGGGUUGUAAACUGCUUUUAUAAGGGAAUAAAGUGAGAGUCGUGACUCUUUUUGCAUGUACCUUAUGAAUAAGGACCGGCUAAUUCCGUGCCAGCAGCAGCCGCCG
This 508-nucleotide ribosomal RNA is filed under the name uncultured bacterium. RNAcentral's name for it is "partial 16S ribosomal RNA". It matches the Rfam family "Bacterial small subunit ribosomal RNA", at positions 28 to 523 of the family's 1533-position model. The record is from RNAcentral.